Zonotrichia albicollis (white-throated sparrow) is the source of this 1566-nucleotide non-coding RNA. The record is from RefSeq and is a predicted model, not a curated record. Lineage: Eukaryota; Metazoa; Chordata; Aves; Passeriformes; Passerellidae.
AGAGGGGGAUGCACACGGACACAGCCCAGCACAAAGGCAGCCCAUCCUCUAGGGUAUCCAACAGGCUGCCUCUGUCUGGGAAGAGGCAUGACAGGGAUUUUUCAUAUUUGAUGGGCUGAAUUGGUCCUACCCUUUGAUUCAUUAUGGGCAAAAAAUCUUAAAUUGAGAUGCUGUCAGGCAAGUGCCCUUGGUGUUCAUUAUCAUAAGCUGGCAGGAGGCAAGACUGUCCUGUGAUGGUAAAGAACAGGAACUUUCCUCUAUCAGCAUCUUUCCAUCCAAGCUGCUGGCAUCCAAAAGCAAGAUGGAUGCAUUUUCAUGCUAACUCAUAAUCACCAGUAUGCUUUCAAUUUGCUAUGGAUUAUAUACUGGGAAAGACUGGGAUUUUCUUCUGCCUUGGAUCAAGAGGCUGCCAGACAGAUCAAGGACUCAAAGGGCCUGCCAUUUGAAGUCUCUGCAGUUUGAAGAUGUGCUGUCAGGGAUCAGUGUGGAGAAGGCUUUUGUUCUGCUGCUGGAGAGAAAAAGGACUGACCCUGCCUGCAUUUUGAGUACCCUGUAAGAAGAACUUGUGCCCAUAGAAACAGACAUAAUGGAUGACUGUGCAGAUGUAAUCCCACCAGUUGGUGUCUACCACAAGGGCUCUGCUUUCUGCCAGAGGAUGAGUCAAUUAUGGAGCCCUGGCAAUCCAAGCAGGGCUGGGAUCAAGCACAGCACCUUUUCCUCCUCUCCUCUGUCUUGGCAGCCCCUGCUUGAUGCUCAGCUGGGAUGGACACACUCAGACACACCAAUGCUUUUAUUCAUGCACACACAGGAAAGGUUUGACCUUGCUCCCAUUGCUGGGUUUCAGUGUGAUUUAGCAGGUGCAGCAGAAGGAGAUUCACUGGAGGAGAUGCUGGCAUCUUUUGUACCAGCAUUAAUUUGAGGUGAAUUUCUGACUCCAAGUGCCCUGCUCCAAAUAUAUUGCAGUAUAACAGAGAACAAAACAUUACUCCAAAGUACAAAAUUUACUGUUGCGGCCUGCAUGAGAAAACAAUUCUCCGUAACUUCCAUAAUCAGACCUUGGAAGCAGAUGACUUUGUGAGUGGUUGGCUGCAGCAGCCAAACACUCAAGCACAGAAUAAUGCAGGUGAUCCCAGCUUUCCUGAGCUCCCAGGGCUUGGCUGCGCAGGCUGAGGAGCAGAUGGGUUCUUUGGUCACAUUACUCAUUCAGCUGAAGCUCAGCACUUUGUUUAAUGCUCUGCUGUCUGAGGCUGGAGUGGCCAGCAUGCCGCAGAUUUGAACCUGUUCUUCCGACCACAUCAAAGGAAUCUGGUCCUGGGCCAGAUUUGGAUCUCCCACCAGUUUUAACUGGUAUAAACUGUGUGAUAACUGGUAACUGAGCUGUGUGUAAUAACUAUAUUACUUAAGAUCUCCAAGCACCUAAUUUGAUUAGUGCAAGUAAUGAAAGAGCACCAAACCCCAUAAAGCUUUCAAACCAGUCAUUAAUAUGGUGAUUGAAAUAUUGUCAGAGUGAUCUGAAAUCCAGAAUUUUUACAAAAUAAUGCUAAGCAUCAGUCAUUGUACAAGCUA